RNAcentral lists this unclassified non-coding RNA (269 nucleotides) under uncultured fungus. Its description in RNAcentral is "sequence contains 5.8S rRNA gene". The stretch from base 1 to 53 matches the Rfam family "5.8S ribosomal RNA", at positions 102 to 154 of the family's 154-position model. The record is from RNAcentral. Lineage: Eukaryota; Fungi.
GAACGCAUCUUGCGCCCUUUGGUAUUCCGAGGGGCAUGCCUGUUUGAGUGUCGCAUUACUCUCAACCCUUGACCGAUCAUCGGCUUGGGCUUGGACCGUGGCCGAACCUGGCCGGCGUCGUAGACGUCUGGCCCGGCCGAAAUGAAUGCGGAGCGAAUGCGCGACCGCGACGACCGAGCGUUGUAGAACCUCGCGAGGUUGUUGUUGGUGUGCUGCUCCCCAGUCAUAUUCUUCGAUCUCAAAUCAGGUAGGACUACCCGCUGAACUUA